AUGAUUGCUCUUAUCGGUAUGGCUCCUACCGAGGAGGAGGGAGAAGAGAAGAAGAAGAGGGAAAGGAAGGCAGCCGGAGCUGCUUUCACGUGGAUUCAAAAUAACUUUGCGACGUGCCCUCCGGAUGCAACUGAUGAUGUGAUCCAGACACAUGCUCGUGUGUAUAUGUGGUACAUUGUGUCGAGGACUUUGUUUCUUGACUCCACUGGCAAGAACGCUCCAUGGAUGUGGCUGAAGGCGUUGACCGUCUUCGAUAGCAAAUGGAGCUGGGGUUCAGCGACUCUUGCCUACUUGUACCGACAGGUAGUUGGUCUGUUUUGUGAUCAACUCAUUUAUUCAUUAGCAAUGCAAGCUUGCUGUCAAGUUAACAUUGUUUUUCUUUCAUAUGUAGCUGGAUGA
Molecule: ribosomal RNA, 399 nt
Filed under: Triticum aestivum (bread wheat)
Lineage: Eukaryota; Viridiplantae; Streptophyta; Magnoliopsida; Poales; Poaceae
Description: partial small subunit ribosomal RNA
Source: RNAcentral